ACUUAAGCAUAUCAAUAAGCGGAGCAAAAGAAACCAACAGGGAUUGCCCUAGUAACGGCGAGUGAAGCGGGAAGAGCUCAAAUUUGAAAUCUGGUAGCCUUCGGUUGCCCGAGUUGUAAUCUAGAGAAAUGUUUUCCGUGCCGGCCCAUGUACAAGUCCCUUGGAACAGGGCGUCAUAGAGGGUGAGAAUCCCGUCCUUGACAUGGACCCCCGGUGCUUUGUGAUACAUUUUCAACGAGUCGAGUUGUUUGGGAAUGCAGCUCAAAAUGGGUGGUGAAUUCCAUCUAAAGCUAAAUAUUGGCGAGAGACCGA
Molecule: ribosomal RNA, 312 nt
Filed under: Nephroselmis pyriformis
Lineage: Eukaryota; Viridiplantae; Chlorophyta; Nephroselmidophyceae; Nephroselmidales; Nephroselmidaceae
Description: partial Eukaryotic large subunit ribosomal RNA
Rfam family: Eukaryotic large subunit ribosomal RNA
Source: RNAcentral